RNAcentral lists this ribosomal RNA (410 nucleotides) under Polycera quadrilineata. Its description in RNAcentral is "partial 16S ribosomal RNA". It matches the Rfam family "Archaeal large subunit ribosomal RNA", at positions 1909 to 2665 of the family's 2987-position model. The record is from RNAcentral. Lineage: Eukaryota; Metazoa; Mollusca; Gastropoda; Nudibranchia; Polyceridae.
AGCUUCAGGAAAUUAUCUGAAGUUAUACCUGCCCAAUGUAUAUUUAGGAUGAAUGGCCGCGGUACUUUGACCGUGCUAAGGUAGCGCAAUCAAUUGGUUUUUAAUUGGAGCCAGGUAUGAAUGGAGUUACGUGGUUUAGCUGUCUCCUGCUUAUUUUAUCGAAAUUACUAUGUAGGUGAAAAAGCCUAUAAUCAGAAAAAAGACGAGAAGACCCUUAGAGUUUUUUUUCAUAACAGUUUAGUUGGGGCAACGUAGGAGCAAAUCUCCAUUUAUCGAUUAUUUUAGUAUUGAUUAAACUACCUUAGGGAUAACAGCAUAAUUUUAUUAAUAAGUUUGUGACCUCGAUGUUGGACUGGGAAACUUUUAGGUUAGCCGCCUAACAGGUAAGUUCUGUUCGAACUAUAAUUCCC